GACGAACGCUGGCGGCGUGCUUAACACAUGCAAGUCGAACGGAAAGGCCCUGCUUUUGUGGGGUGCUCGAGUGGCGAACGGGUGUGUAACACGUGAGUAACCUGCCCUUGACUUUGGGAUAACUUCAGGACACUUGGUCUAAUACCGGAUAGGAGCUCCUGCUGCAUGGUGGGGGUUGGAAAGUUUCGGCGGUUGGGGAUGGACUCGCGGCUUAUCAGCUUGGUGGUGGGGUAGUGGCUUACCAAGGCUUUGACGGGUAGCCGGCCUGAGAGGGUUGCCGGCCACAUUGGGACUGAGAUACGGCCCAGACUGCUACGGGAGGCAGCGGUGGGGAAGAUUGCACAAUGGGCGGAAGCGUGAUGCAGCAACGCCGCGUGCGGGAUGACGGCCUUCGGGUUGUAAACCGCUUUGGCCUGUGACGAAGCGUGAGUGACGGUAAUGGGUAAAGAAGCACCGGCUAACUACGUG
RNAcentral lists this ribosomal RNA (468 nucleotides) under uncultured bacterium. RNAcentral describes it as "partial 16S ribosomal RNA". It matches the Rfam family "Bacterial small subunit ribosomal RNA", at positions 28 to 507 of the family's 1533-position model. The record is from RNAcentral.